RNAcentral lists this long non-coding RNA (1454 nucleotides) under Chrysolophus pictus (golden pheasant). RNAcentral describes it as "lncRNA (ENSCPIG00010013625.1)". Lineage: Eukaryota; Metazoa; Chordata; Aves; Galliformes; Phasianidae. The record is from RNAcentral.
GGCGAUGCUAUGAGAGCAGCUCAGCACACUUCGGUAUGCAGUGAGUUCCUCGGUCAGGGUUCCCCUCGGAGUUCCUCAGCAGGCAGUAAUGACUGCUAUCAAUUGCUUUGAAAGAACUCCUGUUCUGGACUCAGUAUGCAGAAGCAAACCCCAACAGCACACAGAGGCAACAUUCCUAUAUGACACCCCCAUCAUCAAGCCCAGAUGCUCUGGUGGAGUGCAGAUGUCCCACAGAGGUCCAAUUUAAUGCGCUGAAGUGACAGAGAAUCUGCUGCAUCCUCAGCAAUGAUAACCAGCAGAUACACGAGCUGCCUGGCAGAGAAGCAGACAGAACUCUCCUGGGACUGACUGCAUUGUCAGUGUUCCUUGAUGGGUCAUCGAGGUUUGGGUUCUGGUUAACAUCCCGCCCUCUUCAAGCAUCUCCUCUGGCUGCAGGUAAGGGUGAUGUGGCCCCACUGACUGCUGUUUGCUAAAUGGUGGGGAAAAGGGGUGUGGGGAGCUGCACCCAGAGUCAGAAAUCAUAGGAUAGAGUCACAAAGUCAUGGAGUUGUUUGAGUUGCAAGGGACCUUUAAAGGUCAUGUAGUCCACCCACCCUGCAAUGAACAGAGACAUCUACAGCUGGAUCAGUGUGCUUGGAGUGUGGUCCAGCCAAAUGAGACAGGAAAAAGAGGGGUUUUAUUGUAAUAAUUAUUAUUUUAUUUCUUAUUUCUAAGAUUGUUUUCCUUCCUUCUCCCAUUCCCUCCCUCAGGGAUAAAUUCACAGCAAUCAGCACAAUGGCUUUGAUUUUCUGGGAUUCUAUAACACAAAAUCUGGCUCCUGCAUAAGUAAAACUCGCUGGUGGUAGUUUCUGUACACUUCUCCAAGGAGCCUCUGAGCAAGAGGCAUGUCUUAGUGUAAUGAGUUUAAACACAAACAGUUAUUAUUUCUCAGUAAGUACAUGCUAUUAAGUGCUAUCAAACUUCUAUAGAAAAUAUGAAAACACUGGAUGAAAAACAUUAUAAAGGGCUGAACUCUCACCUGGGAAGUAGCACAUAAUGUAAAUCAAUAGAGUUGCAUUUCUUUACUGCUUUAUUGACUAACAAACACACAGCUUGUAAGAGCCCUUCAGGAUCCUUCCCCCUUCCCAACCCUAUUUUAUUUCCAAAUAGUGCUAAAGGAAUGUUUUUCCUCUCAAGGUAAUUGCAUAACUUCCUUCUGUUUCACACUCAAAAAGCACCCAUGUGAGUCAAUGAAGCACAGAGCAUGUUUAGAUUAUCUCUUACCCUUCUCUAAUGAUGUUCAGCAGAUCAAUCAGUGCGAGAGUCAUUUCUUUUUUUUUUUUUCCCCUUAUAAAGGAUUUUGAUCUUUCUCUUAGGGGAAUGACCUUGACUUGGUAGAACAGCUAAACUGGGAAAGCUGUUUUGCUAUUCAAACUGAAUUUAGGAAAGCUAAAUAAAUAGUAGGCAUAAAAACA